UUAAAUUGAAGAGUUUGAUCAUGGCUCAGAUUGAACGCUGGCGGCAGGCCUAACACAUGCAAGUCGAACGGUAACAGGAAGCAGCUUGCUGCUUCGCUGACGAGUGGCGGACGGGUGAGUAAUGUCUGGGAAGCUGCCUGAUGGAGGGGGAUAACUACUGGAAACGGUAGCUAAUACCGCAUAAUGUCGCAAGACCAAAGAGGGGGACCUUCGGGCCUCUUGCCAUCGGAUGUGCCCAGAUGGGAUUAGCUUGUUGGUGGGGUAACGGCUCACCAAGGCGACGAUCCCUAGCUGGUCUGAGAGGAUGACCAGCCACACUGGAACUGAGACACGGUCCAGACUCCUACGGGAGGCAGCAGUGGGGAAUAUUGCACAAUGGGCGCAAGCCUGAUGCAGCCAUGCCGCGUGUAUGAAGAAGGCCUUCGGGUUGUAAAGUACUUUCAGCGGGGAGGAAGGGAGUAAAGUUAAUACCUUUGCUCAUUGACGUUACCCGCAGAAGAAGCACCGGCUAACUCCGUGCCAGCAGCCGCGGUAAUACGGAGGGUGCAAGCGUUAAUCGGAAUUACUGGGCGUAAAGCGCACGCAGGCGGUUUGUUAAGUCAGAUGUGAAAUCCCCGGGCUCAACCUGGGAACUGCAUCUGAUACUGGCAAGCUUGAGUCUCGUAGAGGGGGGUAGAAUUCCAGGUGUAGCGGUGAAAUGCGUAGAGAUCUGGAGGAAUACCGGUGGCGAAGGCGGCCCCCUGGACGAAGACUGACGCUCAGGUGCGAAAGCGUGGGGAGCAAACAGGAUUAGAUACCCUGGUAGUCCACGCCGUAAACGAUGUCGACUUGGAGGUUGUGCCCUUGAGGCGUGGCUUCCGGAGCUAACGCGUUAAGUCGACCGCCUGGGGAGUACGGCCGCAAGGUUAAAACUCAAAUGAAUUGACGGGGGCCCGCACAAGCGGUGGAGCAUGUGGUUUAAUUCGAUGCAACGCGAAGAACCUUACCUGGUCUUGACAUCCACGGAAGUUUUCAGAGAUGAGAAUGUGCCUUCGGGAACCGUGAGACAGGUGCUGCAUGGCUGUCGUCAGCUCGUGUUGUGAAAUGUUGGGUUAAGUCCCGCAACGAGCGCAACCCUUAUCCUUUGUUGCCAGCGGUCCGGCCGGGAACUCAAAGGAGACUGCCAGUGAUAAACUGGAGGAAGGUGGGGAUGACGUCAAGUCAUCAUGGCCCUUACGACCAGGGCUACACACGUGCUACAAUGGCGCAUACAAAGAGAAGCGACCUCGCGAGAGCAAGCGGACCUCAUAAAGUGCGUCGUAGUCCGGAUUGGAGUCUGCAACUCGACUCCAUGAAGUCGGAAUCGCUAGUAAUCGUGGAUCAGAAUGCCACGGUGAAUACGUUCCCGGGCCUUGUACACACCGCCCGUCACACCAUGGGAGUGGGUUGCAAAAGAAGUAGGUAGCUUAACCUUCGGGAGGGCGCUUACCACUUUGUGAUUCAUGACUGGGGUGAAGUCGUAACAAGGUAACCGUAGGGGAACCUGCGGUUGGAUCACCUCCUUACC
Molecule: ribosomal RNA, 1546 nt
Filed under: Escherichia coli
Lineage: Bacteria; Pseudomonadati; Pseudomonadota; Gammaproteobacteria; Enterobacterales; Enterobacteriaceae
Description: bacterial SSU rRNA
Rfam family: Bacterial small subunit ribosomal RNA
Source: RNAcentral